ACUCACCCAGCUGGUUGGAGAGCGGCAGUGUGAAAGUGGACUGCUUCAGGGGGGCUUCCAGCAGGGCCCUGGGGUGGGACCCCCUCCCUGGAGGCUCCCUGUCCGGCUGCGGGAUAGGCAGGUGGCAGAACUUCCCGGUGGAGUUGGCGGGGCACCAGCACUCGUCCCUGCCGAUGCAGCGGCCUCCGUUCAGGCAGGGGAUCUGGCAGAAAUCUGUAACAUCGACCCUCAAGUCUCAGGUUGUGGGACAUCAAAAGAAGGGUCUGGUGCCAUGUUUGCCCCAGGCUGGUCCAAAGAAGCAGUAUCCCUCCGAUUAAGGACAGUAGAGGUUUGGUAACAGAAGAAGGCAGGUCUCAAUGAGAAGGUGACCACGGCCCCCAGGAGACGCUCCAUCUACUAUCAGCCUUGGAAGAACCGCUGCAAUUUCAUCAAAGGACAGAAGUUCCCAAACUCACCCAGCACAGGAAUGGAACUUGCUAUCUUUCUGGGACUGUUCCAGGGAAGUCCUGGCCAAGCCU
This 518-nucleotide long non-coding RNA is filed under the name Pongo abelii (Sumatran orangutan). RNAcentral describes it as "lincRNA". Lineage: Eukaryota; Metazoa; Chordata; Mammalia; Primates; Hominidae. The record is from RNAcentral.